RNAcentral lists this ribosomal RNA (417 nucleotides) under uncultured eukaryote. RNAcentral describes it as "SSU rRNA". It matches the Rfam family "Eukaryotic small subunit ribosomal RNA", at positions 567 to 990 of the family's 1831-position model. The record is from RNAcentral.
CCAGCACCCGCGGUAAUUCCAGCUCCAAUAGCGUAUAUUAAAGUUGUUGCAGUUAAAAAGCUCGUAGUUGGAUUUCAGGGCCUGGAGUGCGGUCCGCCUCAAAGCGAGCACCGCAUACUCUGGGACCACCUUCCUGAGGACCCGUGUGCCCUUAACUGGGUGUGCGUGGGAUUCAGGGACUUUACUUUGAAAAAAUUAGAGUGUUCAAAGCAGGCGUUUGCUUGAAUACAUUAGCAUGGAAUAAUGGAAUAGGACUUUGGUUCUAUUUUGUUGGUUUCUAGGACCGAGGUAAUGAUUAAUAGGGACAGUUGGGGGCAUUAGUAUUUAAUUGUCAGAGGUGAAAUUCUUGGAUUUAUGAAAGACUAACUUCUGCGAAAGCAUUUGCCAAGGAUGUUUUCAUUAAUCAAGAACGAAAGU